Molecule: ribosomal RNA, 253 nt
Filed under: uncultured bacterium
Lineage: Bacteria
Description: partial 16S ribosomal RNA
Rfam family: Bacterial small subunit ribosomal RNA
Source: RNAcentral
UACGUAGGGGCCGAGCGUUGUCCGGAGUUAUUGGGCGUAAAGAGCGUGUAGGCGGCCUGACAAGUCUGCUGUGAAAACUCGAGGCUCAACCUCGAGAUGUCGGCGGAAACUGUCUGGCUAGAGUCCGGAAGAGGAGAGUGGAAUUCCUGGUGUAGCGGUGAAAUGCGCAGAUAUCAGGAAGAACACCUAUGGCGAAGGCAGCUCUCUGGGACGGUACUGACGCUGAGACGCGAAAGCGUGGGGAGCGAACAGG